This 507-nucleotide ribosomal RNA is filed under the name Colletotrichum cf. gloeosporioides ROG-2010. RNAcentral describes it as "eukaryotic LSU rRNA". The stretch from base 176 to 328 matches the Rfam family "5.8S ribosomal RNA". The record is from RNAcentral. Lineage: Eukaryota; Fungi; Ascomycota; Sordariomycetes; Glomerellales; Glomerellaceae.
CAUUACUGAGUUUACGCCUAUAACCCUUUGUGAACAUACCUAUAACUGUGCUUCGGCGGGUAGGGUCUCCGCGACCCUCCCGGCCUCCCGCCUCCGGGCGGGUCGGCGCCCGCCGGAGGAUAACCAAACUCUGAUUUAACGACGUUUCUUCUGAGUGGUACAAGCAAAUAAUCAAAACUUUUAACAACGGAUCUCUUGGUUCUGGCAUCGAUGAAGAACGCAGCGAAAUGCGAUAAGUAAUGUGAAUUGCAGAAUUCAGUGAAUCAUCGAAUCUUUGAACGCACAUUGCGCCCCCAGCAUUCUGGCGGGCAUGCCUGUUCGAGCGUCAUUUCAACCCUCAAGCUCUGCUUGGUGUUGGGGCCCUACAGCUGAUGUAGGCCCUCAAAGGUAGUGGCGGACCCUCCCGGAGCCUCCUUUGCGUAGUAACUUUACGUCUCGCACUGGGAUCCGGAGGGACUCUUGCCGUAAAACCCCCCAAUUUUCCAAAGGUUGACCUCGGAUCAGGUA